UACAGAGGUGGCAAGCGUUGUUCGGAAUUACUGGGCGUAAAGGGCGCGUAGGCGGUUUCGUAAGUCCCGUGUGAAAGCCCCCGGCUCAACUGGGGAACUGCACGGGAAACUGCGAGGCUUGAGUUCGGGAGAGGGAAGCGGAAUUCCGGGUGUAGCGGUGAAAUGCGUAGAUAUCCGGAGGAACACCGGUGGGAAGGCGGCUUCCUGGACCGACACUGACGCUGAGGCGCGAAAGCUAGGGGAGCAAACGGG
Molecule: ribosomal RNA, 252 nt
Filed under: uncultured bacterium
Lineage: Bacteria
Description: partial 16S ribosomal RNA
Rfam family: Bacterial small subunit ribosomal RNA
Source: RNAcentral